RNAcentral lists this ribosomal RNA (127 nucleotides) under uncultured fungus. RNAcentral describes it as "5.8S ribosomal RNA". It matches the Rfam family "5.8S ribosomal RNA", at positions 1 to 127 of the family's 154-position model. Rfam says of the family: 5.8S ribosomal RNA (5.8S rRNA) is a component of the large subunit of the eukaryotic ribosome. It is transcribed by RNA polymerase I as part of the 45S precursor that also contains 18S and 28S rRNA. Functionally, it is thought that 5.8S rRNA may be involved in ribosome translocation. Lineage: Eukaryota; Fungi. The record is from RNAcentral.
AACUUUCAACAACGGAUCUCUUGGUUCUGGCAUCGAUGAAGAACGCAGCGAAAUGCGAUAAGUAAUGUGAAUUGCAGAAUUCAGUGAAUCAUCGAAUCUUUGAACGCACAUUGCGCCCCGUGGUAUU